UGCAAGUCGAGCGAAUGGAUUAAGAGCUUGCUCUUAUGAAGUUAGCGGCGGACGGGUGAGUAACACGUGGGUAACCUGCCCAUAGGACUGGGAUAACUCCGGGAAACCGGGGCUAAUACCGGAUAACAUUUUGAACCGCAUGGUUCGAAAUUGAAAGGCGGCUUCGGCUGUCACUUAUGGAUGGACCCGCGUCGCAUUAGCUAGUUGGUGAGGUAACGGCUCACCAAGGCAACGAUGCGUAGCCGACCUGAGAGGGUGAUCGGCCACACUGGGACUGAAACCCGGCCCAAACUCCUACGGGAGGCAGCAGUAGGGAAUCUUCCGCAAUGGACGAAAGUCUGACGGAGCAACGCCGCGUGAGUGAUGAAGGCUUUCGGGUCGUAAAACUCUGUUGUUAGGGAAGAACAAGUGCUAGUUGAAUAAGCUGGCACCUUGACGGUACCUAACCAAAAAGCCACGGCUAACUACGUGCCAGCAGCCGCGGGAAUACGUAGGUGGCAAGCGUUAUCCGGAAUUAUUGGGCGUAAAGCGCGCGCAGGUGGUUUCUUAAGUCUGAUGUGAAAGCCCACGGCUCAACCGUGGAGGGUCAUUGGAAACUGGGAGACUUGAGUGCAGAAGAGGACAGUGGAAUUCCAUGUGUAGCGGUGAAAUGCGUAGAGAUAUGGAGGAACACCAGUGGCGAAGGCGACUUUCUGGUCUGUAACUGACACUGAGG
This 715-nucleotide ribosomal RNA is filed under the name Bacillus cereus. RNAcentral describes it as "bacterial SSU rRNA". It matches the Rfam family "Bacterial small subunit ribosomal RNA", at positions 56 to 751 of the family's 1533-position model. The record is from RNAcentral. Lineage: Bacteria; Bacillati; Bacillota; Bacilli; Caryophanales; Bacillaceae.